RNAcentral lists this long non-coding RNA (803 nucleotides) under Homo sapiens (human). RNAcentral's name for it is "non-protein coding LINC02165:6". The record is from RNAcentral. Lineage: Eukaryota; Metazoa; Chordata; Mammalia; Primates; Hominidae.
CUUUGCUUCAGAUGAUCCUGGAUCAUGGAGCCAUGAAGAUGUUGAUAGUUGGAUAUCAGGAACAGAUGAUGUCAAUCACUAAUGGGAUCACAGUUGACCAGGGGAAACUAAAAUCAUGGGAAACAAAACCAUGGAUAAGGCAGUACUACUGUAUACAGUUGGCCCUCCAUAGCCAUGCACUCUGCAUCAGUGGAUUCAAUCAGCCAUGGAUAAAAAAAUGUUUGAAAAGUUUAAAAGAAUGGUUGUUUCUGUACUGAACAGGGUUAGGUGUUCAAGCUGUGUUAAAUCACAUCCCUGAUGUUUAUGUGGUCAGGAUAUGUGCCCUUGAGUGACCAAGCAGAAGUGAGUGGAACUUUCUACCAUGCUUUGUAUGCUAAGACUUCCAUCAACGAGUGAUUUUCUUGCUUUAAAUUUAAUGCUGACUCCAUUCAAGCAGAAAAUAGAUUUGAAGACAAUGAAAAAUGUGCCACUUUAUUUCCCUAAGGCCUUCUCUGCACAGUAGGCCUUGAACAAAAGUAAUUUCAUAAGGAGAGACAAACAACUAAGUGAAUCUUCAAAUACAAAAAUUUAUUGUUUUUUUUUGCUAAAUUAUUUUACUAAGUAUUGAUUUUCUGAUUCUUAUUAUCCAUCUUCAGAUCACAAGGCUUAGUGUAGAAUUUGCUUACACUGUGAUAACAAAAUUCAUAAUCAAAUGGGAAGAGGAAAUAAUCCUACCGUGGUGCAUGCCAUUUUUCUAUCCAAGGGAACCUCGUAAGUUGCUGAUAAGAAUAAAUUGCAGUGAAUGAGAAAAUCAUGAAAAGUCA